GGUUGCGAUCAUACCAGCAAUAAUGCACCGGAUCCCAUCAGAACUCCGAAGUUAAGCUUGCUUGGGCGAGAGCAGUACUAGGAUGGGUGACCUCCUGGGAAGUCCUCGUGUUGCACCCUUC
Molecule: ribosomal RNA, 121 nt
Filed under: Rosa chinensis
Lineage: Eukaryota; Viridiplantae; Streptophyta; Magnoliopsida; Rosales; Rosaceae
Source: RNAcentral